This 99-nucleotide small RNA is filed under the name Marmota monax (woodchuck). Lineage: Eukaryota; Metazoa; Chordata; Mammalia; Rodentia; Sciuridae. The record is from RNAcentral.
GCUGGGCGUGGUGGUGCACGCCUGUAAUCUCAGCAGCUUGGGAGGCUGAGACAGGAGGAUCUCAAGUUCAAACCCAGCCGAGUUCAAUCCCUGCCUCCU